Molecule: long non-coding RNA, 670 nt
Filed under: Numida meleagris (helmeted guineafowl)
Lineage: Eukaryota; Metazoa; Chordata; Aves; Galliformes; Numididae
Description: lncRNA (ENSNMEG00000002407.1)
Source: RNAcentral
AUUUCCCUCCAGUGCCCUUCCAAUUCCCCUUCCCCUUCCCCUCCGCCGUAUCCCACCACUCCCAUUCCCAUUCCCACUCCCCUUUCCGCUUCCCCUGUGCCAUCUCCCUCCAGUCCCCUUCCAAUUCCCAUUCCCCUUGCCCUGAGGCAUCUCCCUCCAGUCCCAGUCCCAUUCCCAUUAGCCCCUUUCCCUGUGCCAUCUCCCUCCAGUCCCCUUCCCAUUCCCUCUCCCCUUCCCCUGAGGCAUCUUCCUGCUCUCCCAUUCCAAUUCCCAUUCCCCUUCCUCCUCCCCUGCAGCAUUACCCUCCUAUCCCUUUCACAUUCCCUUUUCCCUUCCCCUGCAGCAUCGCCCUCCAGUCCCAUUGCAAAUCCCAUUCCCCAUUCCCCUUUCCCCUGCAGCAUCUCCCUCCAGUCCCCUUCCCAUUCCCUUUCCUUUUCCCUUGUGGCAUCUCCCUCCAAUCCCAUUCCAAAUCCCAUUCCCCUUUCACCGUACCCUGUGCCAUCUCCCUCCAGUCCCCUUCCCAUUCCCUUUCCCCUUCCCCUGAAGCAUCUCCCUCCAAUCCUAUUCGAAAUCCCAUUCGCCUUUCUCCUUACCCUGUGGCAUUUCCCUCCAGUCCCCUUCCAAUUUCUCUUCCCAUUCCCCUAAGGCAUCUCCCUCUAGUCCCCUUCCC